CUGGUUGAUCCUGCCAGUAGUCAUAUGCUUGUCUCAAAGACUAAGCCAUGCAUGUCUAAGUAUAAAUGUUAUACAGUGAAACUGCGAAUGGCUCAUUAAAACAGUUAUAGUUUAUUUGAUAAUCGAAUUUACAUGGAUAACCGUGGUAAUUCUAGAGCUAAUACAUGCUGGUUAGCCUGACUUCGAGGAAGGGCUGUAUUUAUUAGAUAACAAACCAAUAUUCCUCGUGUCUAUUGUGAUGACUCAUAGUAACUGAUCGAAUCGCAUGGGCCUUGCCCGCGAUACAUCAUUCAAGUUUCUGCCCCAUCAGCUUUCGAUGGUAGUGUAUUGGACUACCAUGGCUUUAACGGGUAACGGAGGAUUAGGGUUCGAUUCCGGAGAGGGAGCCUGAGAAACGGCUACCACAUCUAAGGAAGGCAGCAGGCGCGUAAAUUACCCAAUCCUGACUCAGGGAGGUAGUGACAAGAAAUAACGGACCGAGGCUUCACGCUUCGGGAUUGCAAUGAGUAGAAUUUAAACCCCUUUACGAGGAUCAAUUGGAGGGCAAGUCUGGU
Molecule: ribosomal RNA, 554 nt
Filed under: uncultured ciliate
Lineage: Eukaryota; Ciliophora
Description: SSU rRNA
Rfam family: Eukaryotic small subunit ribosomal RNA
Source: RNAcentral